Manacus vitellinus (golden-collared manakin) is the source of this 233-nucleotide long non-coding RNA. RefSeq lists it as uncharacterized. The transcript has 3 exons. The record is from RefSeq and is a predicted model, not a curated record. NCBI's taxonomy places the organism in Eukaryota, Metazoa, Chordata, Aves, Passeriformes, Pipridae.
GCUCGAGUAGCAGAGGGAACAUCUUAAGAGGGAAUCCCUCUAUGGGACAAGCUUCCUAGGCUUUGGACCACAGGCCUUCCAAUGCCUUUGAUGUACAUCAUGCUUCCGUGGUGUUGGGAGCUGCUGUAUGAAACAAUUUAUAGUACUUGGCAUCUUUCUAUGAAAUAUUUAUAGAGGACAGACUCCAAGGGAUGCAAGACAAAAGAGCUUGAAAUUAAAGUCUUCCUUUUCCA